RNAcentral lists this ribosomal RNA (873 nucleotides) under Agaricus vinosobrunneofumidus. RNAcentral's name for it is "partial large subunit ribosomal RNA". It matches the Rfam family "Eukaryotic large subunit ribosomal RNA", at positions 64 to 924 of the family's 3401-position model. Lineage: Eukaryota; Fungi; Basidiomycota; Agaricomycetes; Agaricales; Agaricaceae. The record is from RNAcentral.
ACUAACAAGGAUUCCCCUAGUAACUGCGAGUGAAGCGGGAAAAGCUCAAAUUUAAAAUCUGGCGGUCUUUGGCCGUCCGAGUUGUAAUCUAGAGAAGUAAUGCCCGUGCUGGACCGUGUAUAAGUCUCCUGGGAUGGGGCGUCAUAGAGGGUGAGAAUCCCGUCUUUGACACGGACUACCAGUGCAUUGUGGUAUGCUCUCAAAGAGUCGAGUUGUUUGGGAAUGCAGCUCAAAAUGGGUGGUAAAUUCCAUCUAAAGCUAAAUAUUGGCGAGAGACCGAUAGCGAACAAGUACCGUGAGGGAAAGAUGAAAAGAACUUUGGAAAGAGAGUUAAACAGUACGUGAAAUUGCUGAAAGGGAAACGCUUGAAGUCAGUCGCGUUGGCCGGGAAUCAGCCUUGCUUUUGCAUGGUGUACUUUCUGGUUGACGGGUCAGCAUCAAUUUUGAUCACUGGAAAAGGCUCAAGGGAAUGUGGCAGCUUCGGCUGUGUUAUAGCCCCUGUUCACAUACAGUGGUUGGGAUUGAGGAACUCAGCACGCCGCAAGGCCGGGUUUCGACCACGUUCGUGCUUAGGAUGCUGGCAUAAUGGCUUUAAGCGACCCGUCUUGAAACACGGACCAAGGAGUCUAACAUGCCUGCGAGUAUUUGGGUGGAAAACCCAGGUGCGCAAUGAAAGUGAAAGUUGAGAUCCCUGUCGUGGGGAGCAUCGACGCCCGGACCAGAACUUUUGGGACGGAUCCGCGGUGGAGCAUGUAUGUUGGGACCCGAAAGAUGGUGAACUAUGCCUGAAUAGGGUGAAGCCAGAGGAAACUCUGGUGGAGGCUCGUAGCGAUUCUGACGUGCAAAUCGAUCGUCAAAUUUGGGUAUAGGGGC